AGAGUUUGAUCAUGGCUCAGGACGAACGCUGGCGGCGUGCUUAACACAUGCAAGUCGAACGGAAAGGCCCUUCGGGGUACUCGAGUGGCGAACGGGUGAGUAACACGUGGGUGAUCUGCCCUGCACUUUGGGAUAAGCCUGGGAAACUGGGUCUAAUACCGAAUAGGACCACGCGCUUCAUGGUGUGUGGUGGAAAGCUUUUGCGGUGUGGGAUGGGCCCGCGGCCUAUCAGCUUGUUGGUGGGGUGAUGGCCUACCAAGGCGACGACGGGUAGCCGGCCUGAGAGGGUGUCCGGCUACACUGGGACUGAGAUACGGCCCAGACUCCUACGGGAGGCAGCAGUGGGGAAUAUUGCACAAUGGGCGAAAGCCUGAUGCAGCGACGCCGCGUGGGGGAUGACGGCCUUCGGGUUGUAAACCUCUUUCACCAUCGACGAAGGUCCGGGUUUUCUCGGGCUGACGGUAGGUGGAGAAGAAGCACCGGCCAACUACGUGCCAGCAGCCGCGGUAAUACGUAGGGUGCGAGCGUUGUCCGGAAUUACUGGGCGUAAAGAGCUCGUAGGUGGUUUGUCGCGUUGUUCGUGAAAUCUCACGGCUUAACUGUGAGCGUGCGGGCGAUACGGGCAGACUUGAGUACUGCAGGGGAGACUGGAAUUCCUGGUGUAGCGGUGGAAUGCGCAGAUAUCAGGAGGAACACCGGUGGCGAAGGCGGGUCUCUGGGCAGUAACUGACGCUGAGGAGCGAAAGCGUGGGGAGCGAACAGGAUUAGAUACCCUGGUAGUCC
Molecule: ribosomal RNA, 783 nt
Filed under: uncultured bacterium
Lineage: Bacteria
Description: bacterial SSU rRNA
Rfam family: Bacterial small subunit ribosomal RNA
Source: RNAcentral